GACGAACGCUGGCGGCGUGCUUAACACAUGCAAGUCGAACGGAAAGGCCCUGCUUUUGUGGGGUGCUCGAGUGGCGAACGGGUGAGUAACACGUGAGUAACCUGCCCUUGACUUUGGCAUAACUUCAGGAAACUGGGGCUAAUACCGGAUAGGAGCUCCUGCUGCAUGGUGGGGGUUGGAAAGUUUCGGCGGUUGGGGAUGGACUCGCGGCUUAUCAGCUUGUUGGUGGGGUAGUGGCUUACCAAGGCUUUGACGGGUAGCCGGCCUGAGAGGGUGACCGGCCACAUUGGGACUGAGAUACGGCCCAGACUCCUACGGGAGGCAGCAGUGGGGAAUAUUGCACAAUGGGCGGAAGCCUGAUGCAGCAACGCCGCGUGCGGGAUGACGGCCUUCGGGUUGUAAACCGCUUUCGCCUGUGACGAAGCGUGAGUGACGGUAAUGGGUAAAGAAGCACCGGCUAACUACGU
RNAcentral lists this ribosomal RNA (467 nucleotides) under uncultured bacterium. RNAcentral's name for it is "partial 16S ribosomal RNA". It matches the Rfam family "Bacterial small subunit ribosomal RNA", at positions 28 to 506 of the family's 1533-position model. The record is from RNAcentral.